CAGAUUUCUUGUUGAUUUCCUCGAUAGACAACGCAUGCGAACAAAUUUAGUAGUAGUAGUUGUUGUUGUCAUGAUGUCUGUCUGGUGUGUUGUUUACUCUUCGCAGUUUUGUUGUGAGGAAGCGAAAAGAUUCUCCGUAAAUCGAUUAGAGAAUCAAGUUCAUCAUUCGCUUCAUGAUUUUCUACAACGCUACCCACAUGAAGACUCUACUCUACUCAAAAAUUAUCUUUAUCAAGGAAUCGUGAAAGUGUAUGAAGAUCUUUCGAUAUUGUGCAAUAAAUAUUUAAAUAGACAGUUCUCAUUUCGUUCGUUCUGUGUGGAGCUUAAAGAAUUGAAACGAGUCUUGGAUAGUGUAAAAGAAUAUAUUCCAACAAAAUGCUAUAUUACCUGGUCAUUUCGUACAAAAUGUGAAAAGCAUAUGUAGAAGAAAAAAUCUUAGCCGGUCUCCGAGUUAACGAAGAGACGAAUUUUUGAACAUUUUUUAUUAUCUUCGCCCGGAAAUGUGAGGUUUCAUAACGGACAUACAUUUGUAAGCGAAUCGCAAGACCCUUUUAUUUUAAAGGAAAAAAGUUUUAACCCUCCGAAAAUACAUUUAAUGGUGAAAUGGUCCUUCGCUUAUCACCAAUUGAGAUGUGAUGCUAUUUGGCAACAGUACGCUAAAGAUGGUGAACGAUUUCGAAGACGGAUACGACAAGUAGAAUCCAUCUAUUUAGAACCUAAAUUACAAGUUUCGCAACGAAAGAAAAUACAUGAAGAUCGAUUUACGACUCUACAAGAAGAAGAAGACUCCAAAAGUAUGGAAGUUGAUUAUGAAUACUAUUAAAAAUUAUAUUAAUUCUGCUUAUUAGUUUUUUUGUUUCUGUUAUAGUUUUCGUUUUCGCUUUCAUUUUAUAUUAUUUUUUAUUUUUUAAAAUGAAUUAUGUAAAAUGUGUUCAUUAGUUAAUUAGACAUUAGUUUUGUACUCUAUGGUUUAUUUUUGCUUUUAUAUUUUAUGUUAAUUAGAUUUAAGAUUUGUUUAUAAUGGAUAGUUUAAUUUUUUUCAAAUGUAUUGUAAGUUUAUAAAUAUAUCAUUGUUUAAAAUUUUUUGUUUUUGUUACUACUAUUUUUCGAUUAUCAUUUUGAAUGAAAAGUGAGGUUAGAUUUAGAGGGGCUUCAUCCAGGAGCGUGCACCUCAUCU
This is a long non-coding RNA of Zophobas morio, 1177 nucleotides long. RefSeq lists it as uncharacterized. The record is from RefSeq and is a predicted model, not a curated record. The transcript has 3 exons. NCBI's taxonomy places the organism in Eukaryota, Metazoa, Arthropoda, Insecta, Coleoptera, Tenebrionidae.